Molecule: long non-coding RNA, 227 nt
Organism: Nomascus leucogenys (northern white-cheeked gibbon)
Lineage: Eukaryota; Metazoa; Chordata; Mammalia; Primates; Hylobatidae
Exons: 3
Source: RefSeq, a predicted model, not a curated record
GGCUCAUUUGGUGAAGUGUUGAGUUCAGGUCCUGAAUAUCUGUGUUAAUUUUCUGCUUCGAUGAUUUGUCUAAUACUGUCAAUGGGAUGUUGAAGUUUCCCACUAUUAUUGCAUAGGGAUCUAAGUCUCUUCCUAGGUCUCUAAGAACUUGCUUUAUGAAUUUGGAUGCCCCUGUAUUGGAUGCAUGUAUAGUUAGGAUAAUUAGCUCUUCUUUUGCAUUAAUCUCU